Molecule: long non-coding RNA, 1241 nt
Filed under: Mytilus galloprovincialis (Mediterranean mussel)
Lineage: Eukaryota; Metazoa; Mollusca; Bivalvia; Mytilida; Mytilidae
Source: RNAcentral
CUUCCAGGCGUUUAAUUAAUGCCCUGCUGUUGCUAUUUUAUAAAUUGCAUAUCAUAUAUCUCCAUUUAUCAUUCUAUCAGCCAACUUUUGUAAAAUACAUGUACAUGUACACAUUUUUUUAUUUGUACUUGUACUUUUACAAAUAAAGUCUCAUGUUACCCUACUGCCAUAAUGAGCAAGCGGUAACGGAGAUAUCUAAUUUUUGCGUAACUAUUCAAUUUUGGUCUUCCUUGCGGUCUGCGUUUAAACUUUGUCGAAUUAAAAAAAAAAAAAAAAAUAGAGGCAAUGAUAUAAAUUUUAUCAACUUAAUUUCCAAGUGACGGGUGUAAAUUGUAGGAUUGAUUGAUUUGAUUAUUGGUUGGUUAACGUCCAGUGGAAAAUAUUUCAUGCAUGUUCAGGACGAGAACAAGUUAACAAUAAAUACAAUAGGUAGUUUUUGCAAUAGAGGCAGGGUAUCCCGAUGAUGUCGGAAAAUUUUAGCUGACGCUAUACAUGUAUAUAUAUAUACUAGUUCUAAAAACUAAUUUUAAGAAAGAAACUUUCCGGGCCUUUUCUGACGCCUAGUAUGCGAGCAAUAUGGCCCUCAGAGCCUAAAAGAUAACUUUGUUAAUUUUCUUUCAGUAAUUUUGUCUCCCAACUUGUACAUGUACAUUAUUUCCAACUCAAAACUAAAAUCCACCGAAUUGCCAUGCAAGCGUAAAUUAACACGAAUAUAAAAUCUAAAUGAUUUCAAGAUCUUGCUUUUUUACAGUCUCUUGCCGUUUGAAUAAUAAAAAGUCAGUCGUUUGCAUGUAAAUUUCGAGAAAAAAAAUUAUAACGGAAUCAGGGAACACGGAACCGGUCUGACUACAGCCAGCCCCAACUAUCAACGUGCGUUUGUAGACGCAAGUGUAUACUCGGGGCUGGCUUUAUUCAGACUGUAACGGAACCUGGAUUUUGUUUUGUUUUUUUCUGCCGAAUCAAGUGCCCAUGUAUUUCUCAGCCUUCGUUAACUUUCUAAUGUUUCAUUCCGAUGUUUCUGUCCGUCCUGAAUAGACCUGGUUUAUACGAUUACAAAGCUGGCACUGUAUUUUAAAAUAUUUCCAAAACUAUAUCGAAUUUACUCUGUACAAACCAAUGGAUUUCAGAGACUGUUUACACAUGGAACACAGGAAAAGUAAUUCGGCUAAAUAACCACUUUUUUACAUUCCAUACAAACAAACUUUUUUCUGUAUGAUUUUCAACGUCUACUUGUAUUGUGC